AGCCAUGCAGCGAGCACAAAGCGAACUAUUCUUUCGCCUUUUACUAAAGAAUAUUGUGUGCUCAUUGUAUUAAGUGGCAUACGUUUAUUUUUUGAGUCUUUUCUUCAUUUUCGGGU
This 116-nucleotide small nuclear RNA is filed under the name Helianthus annuus (common sunflower). RNAcentral's name for it is "sRNA HanXRQr2_Chr02g0051331". It matches the Rfam family "U5 spliceosomal RNA". Rfam says of the family: U5 RNA is a component of both types of known spliceosome. The precise function of this molecule is unknown, though it is known that the 5' loop is required for splice site selection and p220 binding, and that both the 3' stem-loop and the Sm site are important for Sm protein binding and cap methylation. The record is from Rfam by way of RNAcentral. Lineage: Eukaryota; Viridiplantae; Streptophyta; Magnoliopsida; Asterales; Asteraceae.